Molecule: unclassified non-coding RNA, 225 nt
Filed under: plant metagenome
Description: partial contains small subunit ribosomal RNA, internal transcribed spacer 1, and 5.8S ribosomal RNA
Source: RNAcentral
UUUCCGUAGGUGAACCUGCGGAAGGAUCAUUAGUGAAUUGAAUAUGUUAGCGGACCUCUUCGGAGUCCCUAGCAUCAAAUCAUAUCCAUAACACCUGUGAACUGUAAGUCUGUCUUGAAAACGUAAGUGAUUAGAGCGCCUGCCCAUUUUAUACAAACAUUAAAGUAACAGACAUAGUCUUAUUAUAAACUAAUAAAACUUUCAACAACGGAUCUCUUGGCUCUA